Molecule: long non-coding RNA, 140 nt
Organism: Drosophila albomicans
Lineage: Eukaryota; Metazoa; Arthropoda; Insecta; Diptera; Drosophilidae
Exons: 3
Source: RefSeq, a predicted model, not a curated record
CAGAGUCUAAGGGAAAGCCAAGAGAAAUGCGUAUAUUUUUACUGUUAGUCGUAGCGCUGGGUUUGCUGGCAUUGGUGUGCUGCCAUAAUCCUGAGGAGAAAAAGCCGUAUCCUUAUCCCAAGCGCGGGGGAGGUGGCAGA